Molecule: long non-coding RNA, 4121 nt
Organism: Eriocheir sinensis (Chinese mitten crab)
Lineage: Eukaryota; Metazoa; Arthropoda; Malacostraca; Decapoda; Varunidae
Exons: 2
Source: RefSeq, a predicted model, not a curated record
CAAUCACUAGGAGCAGCCCAGCAAUCACUAGGAGCAGCCCAGCAAUCACUAGGAGCAGCCCAGCAAUCACUAGGAGCAGCCCAGCAAUCACUAGGAGCGGGCCGGCUAGCAGCGCCCUUGGCCACCUACACUAGCACACGUGGAUGACUCCUAGCAACACAAGCACAAAGGUACACACACACGCUACUUCACGAACCGCUGCUGCUAGCCACAUCCAAUCCUAAGGACAUUUUGUUUUCCUCUAUAAAUUAAAGACUAAGUACAUUUUGUCUUCUGUGGCGCGUCUCGCUGGCCACUGAGGAGGACAAGUGUAUAAAUGCAACGCUUGAGUAACCAGAAAACGAAUCAAUGUCGGUAGGAACGCAAAACGCCAAUGCUUGCGUAAGUGUCUGGCGUGAAAAUGUCAACAAAUAAUAGCAAAAAAAUUCCUCCAAACCACAUGAUUUAGAAUACAGACAAACCUUCUUGUGUCAAGAUGAAAACAAAUGACCACAAACUAAAACGCUAUAAAUCCUGUCUUGAUUCACAAUCCACAGGCAGGCAGUCAAGUAAUGCCCCGACGGUCUCUAAGGCUUGGCCAGUGUUAGUAAGAGCUAUGUCUAAGGAACACUCACAACACGCCCCUCUAAGUGGUGGCCUGGCAAGGAGGUGACCCAAGAAUCCCUCUCUGCAGACCAAGGAUAAAUAACAAAGGUAAUGGUACAUGGUUAGGGAAGCUUGUCCUCAUCUUGGGCAUAUUUCCAGCAACUUAAUUCAAUGAGUGACACUAUACCGGGAACUCCAGACAAGAAGGUGACCCAAGAAUCCCUCCCUGCAGACCAAUGAUAAAUAACAGGUAAUGGUACAUGGUUAGGGAAGCUUGUCCUCAUCACAGGCAUAUUUCCAGCAACUAAAUUUAAAGAGAUGAGUCACGCUGUACUGGGAGCUCCAGACAAGAAGGUGAUCCAAGAAUCUCUCCCUGCAGACCAAUGAUAAAUAACAGGUAAUGGUACAUGGUUAGGGAAGCUCAUCCUUAUCUUGGGCAUAUUUCCAGCAACUAAAUUUAAGAGAUACUGGUAAGAGUCACAUUGCAUACCAUCAUGUAGUACCGGGAACUUUUCAAUGUCUUUUCAAUUUGCUGCGUCUCCAAGGACACGUUUCUUCUAAAAAUCGUCUUAGGAACUUUGCCUCAGAAAAAAAAACCUUUGAUGGAAAUGUCGAGGAUUCGUAACGUCACUUUUCACACCGGCAAAACUUCUGUCGCGUUAAGUGUCGUGGAAGAGUAAAUAAUAUACAUACAAUUUAUACACUAUUGCUCACUACUGUUUGUUAGGCAGCAAGUAUACGGUAACUUAACCAUAGUGAAAGCAUCGAGGGAGAAUGGCGGCCGACACAGUGACGUAGUAAUCUGUUGUAAGCUUAAAAACAAAAUAUUACCGUUCCCCAUAAAUAGGAUCUGUGAUAGACUGUCUUAGAAUAAAAAAAAUUCCAGAUUGCAUGAAAUGUCCGUAAAGGUGAAGAAAAAGGUUGUGUUAGAGGAAUUAAAACAAAAAUGGCAACAACUUUGGCUGUACAUUAUAACCAAGCGCAACACAACGUCCCAGUACCUCAAUUAACUGGACACACAAAAUAGCCCCCCCCCCAAAAAAAAGCCCACAUUCUGAGACACUUCAUCACCCAACCUCACAUAUCUAGGCUUUCGUAGGAGUCCAGGUCACAUCCUUGGGUAGCUUUAUGACCCUGGUGGUAGGCUGACCCUUCAUCUGUACCAGGAACCUAAAGAAACGCAUAUUUGACAAGGCUUUCGUAGGAGUUCCGGGCAUUUCCAGGGGUAGUUUUAUGACCCUGGUGGUAGUCUGACCCUUUAUCUGUACCAGGAACCUAAAGAAACACAUAUUUGACAAGGCUUUCAUAGGAGUCCUGGUCACAUCCUUGGGUAGCUUUAUGACCCUUGUGGUAGUCUGACCCUUCAUCUGUACCAGGAACCUAGACAAACACACAUUAGAAUCCAUUUAUCUCCUUCUUGGCCGUUAGAUAUAGUUUGCGUGAGGGGCGGAAGCGUCUGAAAAUGUCGAGCUUAAACUAAACACCAGACAGCAGACCUCAAUGCACCCCACCUGUCGUUUCAUUAAGUAUCAUUACGGGCUACAAAGAUCUCAUGAACCUUACGCAAACUGUACAGAUAUCACAAGGCAGAGAGGCGGGGCGGUCAUGCAUGUGUGGUGGGAAGCAGCUGCCACGACUCAACCUCACACUGGCUCAAAUGUCAAAUCUAUGUACAAAGAAACUCUGGAUCUAUACAAAGUCAUUUUUUAAGAAUUUCAAAGGCAAAUGCAGCGUGUCCUAAGUCAAGUCCUCCAUGGAACUCGUUUUACAUACCUGCAUAGAACCGGGCAAACAUAACCCACAAAAAAGUCCCUAAUCAAUCCCUUCUAGAGCGUCAAGUGUGUGUUCGAGCUACCGUCCAGGAAACUGAGGUACUGCGGCAGGGUUUCCAUCCAUCCCUGGUCACUGGUCUGGGGUGCACUACGUUCUGGGUCACCGUGCACACUCGAUAACACUGCAUGAGUAUAUGGUAGCCAGGGGUGUGAAGUCGGAUGUGGAAAAUUUCAACUAUGACUCAAGUAAAGUUUAUGGUUGUGACUGCGAUUCUGACUCCCUUCCACCUCCCUUCCCCUUCUGCGGCACUGUGGAAGGCAAAUCAAACCCUGCCACACCACACCACACCACAUCACACAUAUCGUAAGGGGGAGAUAUUUUAAGCAAUUGCUAUUCAGAUUUCGACUUCACACCCCUGAUGGUAGCCACUGCUGGUAGGGAAGUGUAGGUGUAGGUAAUAUCUGUAUCAGUGUGUGUGUGUGUGUGUGUGUGUGUGUGUGUGUGUGUGUGUGUGUGUGUGUGUCAGCUUGUAACCCCCACUCCGAUCAGAACUCGCACCAGAAAACAUGAACUAGGCCUACUGAUGAAAAACUGAUCUGAGGUAUAUGAGAGAAUGUGAAAAAUAAAUAAAAAGGCGCAUCUUGACGGUAUUUCAUAUUUUUUUACUUUGUGGUCAGUUUUACAGGGAAGUUUUUUGUUAAUGGUAUGAACACUCAUGCCUGAAAACCUGAACUACUAAUGGGAUAUUGAUCAGAAGUAUACAAGAAAAUGCAAAAAAUAAAUUAGAAAUGAUAUCUUGACAGUAUUUUGUUGUCAUACUUCAGAUCAAUUUCCUAGAGUAGCUUUUUGUUAAUGAUAUGAACACUCACGGCAGAAAAACAUGAACUACUAAUGGGAAAUUGAUCGGAGGUAUACGAUAAAAUGCGAAAAAUAAAUUAGAAACAAUAUCUUGAUGGUAUUUCAAAUUUUCAUACUUCAGAUCAAUUUCCUAGAGUAGUUUUUUGUUAAUGGUAUGAGCACUCACGCCAGAAUACAUGAACUACUGAUGGGAUAUUGAUCGGAGGUAUACGAUAGAAUGUGAAAAAUAAAUUAGAAACGAUAUCUUGACGGCAUUUCAAAUUUUCAUACUUCAGAUCAAUUUUCCAGAGUAUUUUUUUCAUGCUACUUGCGGAAACUGAGUCAAGGUAUGAGAUGGGGCAAAAAAUAAAUUAGGAAAUAUAUCUUGACGGUAUUUUUUCUGUAGAACGAGAGAAAUAAAUAUGGGUUUUCAUUACGCUGUUUUCCCUGUUCAUUUAGAGAGGUAGAGAGAGAUAGAGUAGUUUAAUUUCCUGGUACGAGCUCUGAGUGGAGUGACGGAGACAAGCACACACACACACACACUCACACACACCCUAUAGGAACACCUUAUCCACCAGCUCAGCGGCUGUGAUGUAAGGCAUAAGGGACAACGCAAAGUGACGAGAGGGUAGUCGAUAACCUAAUACUACUAAGCUAAUUAUUCUGAUCCUCAACCAGAACUAGUAAAGAAUAAUAAUAAGUGUUUAAAGUGCAACUCACCUCAAUAUAUGAUAGAAAAUAAAGUGCACUGACGGACAGACAAAAUAAAUUAAUGAAGAUAAUGAUUGUAAAUUACCGAAUGAAGAAGAAAGAAGAAGUUUAAUGACAUAUGCGGCUAUUCUUCUCUCUGUUUUUUUUUCUGCGGAACCGAGAUAUCUUUUUUUUUUAAACUCUCUGUGAAACGCUAUUUACAAAAGUCCUUACGU